This 484-nucleotide ribosomal RNA is filed under the name uncultured bacterium. RNAcentral's name for it is "partial 16S ribosomal RNA". It matches the Rfam family "Bacterial small subunit ribosomal RNA", at positions 29 to 507 of the family's 1533-position model. The record is from RNAcentral.
AGUGAACGCUGGCGGUAGGCCUAACGCAUGCAAGUCGAACGGCAGCACAGUGAGAGCUUGCGGUUACGGCUGGGGACUGGCGGACGGGUGCGGAGUACAUCGCAAUCUGCGGUUGCGAACGUGCUAAAGUAGGGGCACUUACGGUAUAAGCGCAGACGACGUACGGGGGAGAGCAUCGGAUCUUCCGACCUCACACGAGCCUAGGUCGGAUUAGCUAGUUGGCGGGGUAAAGGCCUACCAAGGCGACGAUCCGUAACUGGUCUGAGAGGAUGAUCAGUCACACUGGAACUGAGACACGGUCCAGACUCCUACGGGAGGCAGCAGUGGGGAAUAUUGGACAAUGGGCGCAAGCCUGAUCCAGCCAUACCGCGUGUGUGAAGAAGGCCUUCGGGUUGUAAAGCACUUUUGUUGGGGAAGAAGAGCAGCAGGUUAAUACCUUGCUGUUUUGACGUUACCCAAAGAAUAAGCACCGGCUAACUUCGUG